AAAUGGACAUUGACGACUGCAUGAGAUGAGCCCAGAUGGUUGUGUUAGGGAUUACAACUGUUUUUGGGUUAUUGUUUCAGAAAUGCCCAAAUUGAAUCCCACAAUCAAGAUCUUAACAGCGAUGGUUCACUAGGUGAUGCCAACGGUUUAACCAUCCUGCGUUUUACUUAUUCCUUCCGUUCUGAACGCACAGUUUGAAAAUGAAACUUGUGUGUUUGAUGGCACAUUAAAUGGUGGUAUAAUACAUUUGUUUGCUCUGUGUUAAUUCAUACUUUAAACCUCAAAGUCUGAGCCAUCUGAGAUAAAUCCCUUCUGCACAUUUACUGAGAAAUAACUGGUAUUCAGAAAUUGCCCUUUCAUUGUUUGAUGCUUUGUGUGUAACACACGAUUUUAAAUAUGGGAAAAUACUGUAUAUUUGCUCCAUUUGAAAUUCAAGGGGAACUCCUCCUUUCUGGAGGGAAGGUCCAUAUCUCCCAGAAUGCUCUAUGAGGCUCAGAAUGUAAAGAUAAUUGUUAGGGUUUGACCAAUGUGCAUUGCUAAUUAACUAAUGAACUGCAGGUGUGGGGAGUGAUGUCAUCACCUGGGGGAGGAGUGUUUUUGGCCUAGGAACCAGGAAGCAUGAGGCAAAGAGGGGAAAUUCUGUGCGAGACUUCUGUAACUGUCGUAUGGACUAAAUGCCUCUGUUUAAAUAGCAGGAGCUGCCGUAUGGACUAACCGCCUCAGUAAAUAGUAGGAGCUGCCAUACGGACUUACCACCUCAGUUUAAAUACCAGGAGCUGUUGUAAGGACUAACCGCCACAGUAAAUAGCAGGAGCUGGGCUGUUCUGACUGUUGGACAACAACUGUCAGUGACCCCCAUUUGAAAACUGGAAAGAGUCAGAAGAAAAGGCAAAGAACUCUAAAAGUAUAACCUAUAAUUAUUGAAGACCAAUUGCAAAGUUGCUAGGAAUUGGACAUUCUAUAAAACACUAAAAGUGCCCUCAAAGGUGCUCAGCCAGCAUUCAGGGACCUCAUACAGAGCAAAUAGCGGCUUCGGGGGAGCAUUUGAGAGCCCCCCAGAAAUUCACACACUAAGGAAGGAAGGAAACGCUGGUCGAGACCUGAACCGCAAAUCACUGAGAAUCCAAGAAACUGGGACGAUCGAGAGAGAGAGAGAUGUUUUGCCUGUUUUAAUCCACUUAAAUGUGAGUGUAACCAAUUGGUUUUUACUUUUAGAAAAAAUAAAGAAGUUUUUACACUA
Long non-coding RNA from Xenopus laevis (African clawed frog), 1240 nucleotides. RefSeq lists it as uncharacterized. NCBI's taxonomy places the organism in Eukaryota, Metazoa, Chordata, Amphibia, Anura, Pipidae. The transcript is spliced from 4 exons. The record is from RefSeq and is a predicted model, not a curated record.